This 766-nucleotide ribosomal RNA is filed under the name uncultured bacterium. RNAcentral describes it as "bacterial SSU rRNA". It matches the Rfam family "Bacterial small subunit ribosomal RNA", at positions 735 to 1504 of the family's 1533-position model. The record is from RNAcentral.
CGAUACUGACACUGAGGUGCGAAAGCGUGGGAGCAAACGGGAUUAGAUACCCCGGUAGUCACGCCGUAAACGAUGUCUACUAGCCGUUGGAGGACUUGAUCCUUUAGUGGCGCAGCUAACGCGAUAAGUAGACCGCCUGGGGAGUACGGUCGCAAGAUUAAAACUCAAAUGAAUUGACGGGGGCCCGCACAAGCGGUGGAGCAUGUGGUUUAAUUCGAAGCAACGCGAAGAACCUUACCUACUCUUGACAUCCAGUGAACUUUUGAGAGAUCAAUUGGUGCCUUCGGGAACACUGAGACAGGUGCUGCAUGGCUGUCGUCAGCUCGUGUUGUGAAAUGUUGGGUUAAGUCCCGUAACGAGCGCAACCCUUGUCCUUAGUUACCAUCAUUAAGUUGGGGACUCUAAGGAGACUGCCGGUGACAAACCGGAGGAAGGCGGGGACGACGUCAAGUCAUCAUGGCCCUUACGAGUAGGGCUACACACGUGCUACAAUGGCAUGUACAAAGGGUUGCCAAGCCGCGAGGUGGAGCUAAUCCCAUAAAGCAUGUCGUAGUCCGGAUUGGAGUCUGCAACUCGACUCCAUGAAGUCGGAAUCGCUAGUAAUCGUGAAUCAGAAUGUCACGGUGAAUACGUUCCCGGGCCUUGUACACACCGCCCGUCACACCAUGGGAGUGGGUUGCUCCAGAAGUAGAUAGCUUAACCUUCGGGAGGGCGUUUACCACGGAGUGAUUCAUGACUGGGGUGAAGUCGUAACAAGGUAGCCGUA